CCCUUAGAUGUCCUGGGCCGCACGCGCGCUACACUGAGUGUCUGAGAUACGAGUCUGCAUGGUCCGGCAAGGUCUAGGUAAUCGCUAAAAGACACAUCAUGCUUGGGAUAGAUUAUUGCAAAUAUUAAUCUUGAACGAGGAAUUCCUAGUAAGCGCAAGUCAACAGCUUGCGUUGAUUACGUCCCUGCCCUUUGUACACACCGCCCGUCGCUACUACUGAUUGGAUGUUUAAGCGAGGUUCUCGAACUGCUAGCGACUUAGCUUCGGUGAGGUCGCAGUGUGGGAAGUGAACCUAGCUUUGGUGUCUAGAGGAAGUAAAAGUCGUAACA
Molecule: ribosomal RNA, 329 nt
Filed under: uncultured eukaryote
Lineage: Eukaryota
Description: partial 18S ribosomal RNA
Rfam family: Eukaryotic small subunit ribosomal RNA
Source: RNAcentral